Molecule: ribosomal RNA, 365 nt
Filed under: uncultured eukaryote
Lineage: Eukaryota
Description: partial 18S ribosomal RNA
Rfam family: Eukaryotic small subunit ribosomal RNA
Source: RNAcentral
CAAUAGCGUAUAUUUAAGUUGUUGCAGUUAAAAAGCUCGUAGUCGGAUUUUGGCUGAGAACGAUCGGUCCGCCGUUAGGUGUGCACUGAUUGGUCUCAGCUUCCUGGUGAGGAGGUGUGCUUCACGGCCACUUAGUCACCGUGGUUACUUUGAAAAAAUUAGAGUGUUCAAAGCGGGCUUACGCUUGAAUAUAUUAGCAUGGAAUAACACCAUAGGACUCCUGUCCUAUUUCGUUGGUCUCGGGACGGGAGUAAUGAUUAAGAGGAACAGUCGGGGGCAUUCGUAUUUCAUUGUCAGAGGUGAAAUUCUUGGAUUUAUGAAAGACGAACUUCUGCGAAAGCAUUUGCCAAGGAUGUUUUCAUUGA